This 74-nucleotide transfer RNA is filed under the name Heterocephalus glaber (naked mole-rat). It matches the Rfam family "tRNA". Rfam says of the family: Transfer RNA (tRNA) molecules are approximately 80 nucleotides in length. Lineage: Eukaryota; Metazoa; Chordata; Mammalia; Rodentia; Bathyergidae. The record is from Rfam by way of RNAcentral.
GGCGCUGUGGCUUAGUUGGUUAAAGUAUCUAACUAGUAAAUAGUAGAUCCUGGGUUCCAAUCCCAGCGGUUCCU